UAAAAUCUACGAUCCACGACGUAUGUACAGCAUAGCGUGUAAAAAAAGAGAAGUAUCCGUUAGAAUCGCGAAGACCAUGUGGUCCGAUGCAUAUACUUAAGCUGCCAGUAUUCCGCGUCCUCCUUGUAGCGACGGGUCAGCACGACUUGUAUCUGUGUUUGUAUAUAUUAUGGGAAGCUUUCGAAGAACUUUUGAGGCGUUUACGUUAAACGUGUUGUUCGUGCUCAUAAAUUCACCGUCUUUCGAUUAUAAACAGGGUCGAUAAACCUAGACGGGGCGAUGCUCGUUGCUCGUUGAAACGUUCAACGAGCAACAAGGGAUCUGCGGGAGUUUGUACAAAGUUACAUGUUUGGAAAGGGUCAAGAAAGCAAUACACACACAGCAUAACCUAAUCAAGAUAUCUAGUCAUGAUCGCAGCAGGUACGAUGAGCUCCGGCGAUUACGAGCCCUGGCUACUCGGGGCGACGGCCCCGAGCUUCGUGCCGACGGGCAUGUUCGCCCCGAGCUCCGAGAGCUUGGCGCCCACGGAAACGCUGUUGCGCGUGAGGCCCGUGUUCCGAUGCAUCCGGCACCGGAAGGAGCCGGCGUGCGUCGUGGGCGAGCAGAGGCAGUUGCUUUUGAGGCUUCUGGACUUCGCCAGCCCGACCGGCGACGUCGGCACCGAGGCCGACCGGGACACAGUGUUCAUGGCGCUUAUGCUCGGAUUCGGGAUAGCGAUUAUAGGUUUCUCUCGUUUCUGCAUCUUUCUAGAUUCUUCUGCCAUUUUCGAUCGGGUAGAAGAAACCUAUUAAGCACAAGAAAUUUAUUAUGUGAAACGAGAUGAGAUUCGAACUCACGAUAAUUCAUUCUGGAGUUAAAUAACAAAAGAAUGAUAAUUUAACGCUAUGAAACGUAGGAAACAAACACGAAGAUAUAAUUACCUGAGAAUUAUUACAGAUCAAAUGUGUUGCAAAGGUUGUUGAUUGUGUUUUUUCCUCAAAUUUUUUCUCUCUUUUUUGUUAUUGAUUAUAUCUUUCUCUCUGUUUCCCAAUUUCGUCCACAGUUUUUCUGAAUCUUU
Molecule: long non-coding RNA, 1057 nt
Filed under: Salvia miltiorrhiza (redroot sage)
Lineage: Eukaryota; Viridiplantae; Streptophyta; Magnoliopsida; Lamiales; Lamiaceae
Description: long non-coding RNA (SMIL_LNC005805)
Source: RNAcentral